UGUUAUUCUAGAAAAAAAGGAGUUUCUCUUAGGAGGAGAAGAGCCUCUGCAUGAGAAGGCAAGCACUGAGGACCACUGGUGGAAAAACAGCAGGGCCCAAAUGUGAGACAGCACUCUGGCUCCUGUUUAAGAUGCCAAAGCAGCUGCCUCAACAUUCAGCCGUGGUUCAUCUCAGAGGAUGAAAGACCUUCCUUUGUUUUCUUCUUGAGUGAGCUAACAUCUGCCCAGCCAACAUCUUCAAUGAUAAAGAAAAAAAAUCAUCAAGUGUUUCAACUCAAAGAAAAAUGGGUGGUUGAAGAAGGGGAUCUUGGUAAAGAGAUGAAAGAAUGAGAGAGCGGGAACAACUGAAAUCUUCCAGUAAAUCUGUUGGAACACCAGAGGUGUUCAACUACUUUGAGAGAAGAAACAAACAAAGGCUUAAGAUGGAAGUACUAUAUCAACAUGCUCUCUGGAAUCAAACACUUGAUAUUCUUUUGUGUGUGUACGUGUGCUUGUGGGUGACAUUUGGACAUCCUGCUCCUUCCUCUGAACUGUGGGUGUAGGGAGCGUGUCUGGCCUCACGCCAGUGCUCUGACCAGACGUUCAAUACAGCAUGUUCUCGGAGAACUGAGACCUCUCUAGGGAAAACGAAUAGUGUUUUGGCAUAAAAAAGAAUUUGGACAGACUCUACAUCAGUUCCAGCGACUGUUGAAACAGAGAGCCGACUGUAAAGGAGUCAAGCAGUCUGUGGCCUCGAGCUGAUUUCCACACACAUCAGUCAGACAGCUGGGCGGUUUCCUGUCUGGAGGAUGCAUAUGUGUUUGUCAUCAAGCAACAAGCAAGAUAUAUAUUUGGCUCAAGGUGUGGUAUAAGCUGCUGUUUUGAAGAAUGAAUCGGUCUCAG
This is a long non-coding RNA of Cyprinus carpio (common carp), 882 nucleotides long. RefSeq lists it as uncharacterized. Lineage: Eukaryota; Metazoa; Chordata; Actinopteri; Cypriniformes; Cyprinidae. The record is from RefSeq and is a predicted model, not a curated record.